GAUGAACGCUGGCGGCGUGCCUAAUACAUGCAAGUCGAGCGAACGGACGAGAAGCUUGCUUCUCUGAUGUUAGCGGCGGACGGGUGAGUAACACGUGGAUACCCUACCUAUAAGACUGGGAUAACUUCGGGAAACCGGAGCUAAUACCGGAUAAUCUUUUGCACCGCAUGGUUCAAAAGUGAAAGACGGUCUUGCUGUCACUUAUAGAUGGAUCCGGGCUGCAUGAGCUGGUUGGUAAGGUAACGGGUUACCAAGGCAACGAUGCAUAGCCGACGUGGGAGGGUGAUCGGCCACACGGGAACUGAGACACGGUCCAGACUACUACGGGAGGCAGCAGUAGGGAAUCUGCCGCAAUAGGCGAAAGCCUGACGGAGCAACGCCGCGUGAGUGAUGGAGGUCUUCGGAUCGUGAAGCUGGGUUAUUAGGUGAGAACAGAUGUGGAAGGAACUGUGCACAGCGUGACGGUACCGAGUCAGAAAGCCACGGCUAACUACGUG
Molecule: ribosomal RNA, 497 nt
Filed under: uncultured bacterium
Lineage: Bacteria
Description: partial 16S ribosomal RNA
Rfam family: Bacterial small subunit ribosomal RNA
Source: RNAcentral